This 424-nucleotide ribosomal RNA is filed under the name uncultured bacterium. Its description in RNAcentral is "bacterial SSU rRNA". It matches the Rfam family "Bacterial small subunit ribosomal RNA", at positions 359 to 775 of the family's 1533-position model. The record is from RNAcentral.
GAAUUUUGGACAAUGGGCGCAAGCCUGAUCCAGCCAUGCCGCGUGAGUGAAGAAGGCCUUCGGGUUGUAAAGCUCUUUCGGCGGGGACGAAACGGUCCGUGCUAACACCACGGACUAAUGACGGUACUCGCCAAAAAAGCACCGGCUCAAUCAGGUCCAGCAGCCGCGGUAAUACGUAGGGUGCAGGCGUUAAUCGGAAGUACUGGGCGUAAAGCGUGCGCAGGCGGCUCCUUAAGUCAGAUGUGAAAGCCCCGGGCUUAACCUGGGAACUGCGUUUGAAACUGGGGAGCUAGAGUGUGGAAGAGGGGGGUGGAAUUCCAGGUGUAGCAGUGAAAUGCGUAGAGAUCUGGAGGAACACCGAUGGCGAAGGCAGCCCCCUGGGCUAACACUGACGCUCAUGCACGAAAGCGUGGGGAGCAAACAG